Molecule: ribosomal RNA, 301 nt
Filed under: uncultured bacterium
Lineage: Bacteria
Description: partial 16S ribosomal RNA
Rfam family: Bacterial small subunit ribosomal RNA
Source: RNAcentral
CAGCCGCCGCGGUAAUACGUAGGGUGCAAGCGUUAAUCGGAAUUACUGGGCGUAAAGCGUGCGCAGGCGGUUUGUUAAGACAGAUGUGAAAUCCCCGGGCUCAACCUGGGAACUGCAUUUGUGACUGGCAAGCUAGAGUCUGGCAGAGGGGGGUGGAAUUCCGCGUGUAGCAGUGAAAUGCGUAGAUAUGCGGAGGAACACCGAUGGCGAAGGCAGCCCCCUGGGCCAACACUGACGCUCAUGCACGAAAGCGUGGGGAGCAAACAGGAUUAGAUACCCCGGUAGUCCCUGUCUCUUAUAC